GUGAACGCGCGGAAGGGUCCGCGGAAGAAGGUCCGACCGAAAACGUGCUGGGCCACUGCCGGGCACAGGAAGAGGAGCCGCAAGUCAAGUCGGAGCGGGAGCAGAGCCGUCUGUCGAGAGCCGCAAAAGCAAGCUAACAGCGUGAACCUGACCUCCGUUCCGCCGCUCACUCCGCUUGGCUUCCGCGGGCCCUGCGCCGCCGGGAUCUCUGCUGCCCCCUGGCGGCCGGCGAGCUCCCCCGGCCUCGUGGCGCCGCCCUCAGCUCUCCCAGCCAGGCAGUCCGAGCCCGACGAGGGGCGGCAGGACCGCUCGGCGCCGCUCAGUGCCCCUAGGCUGAUGCAGAAGAGGACCGUUCUCCUGCAUCCUGCUAAGGCCGGUCGUCAGAGCGCGGCCUGGAUCGCAGGCCGAGGAGCCCGCCGGCCCAGGCCGCGCCCGUUCCCGCCCAGCACACGCCCGUCACCGCCCCGCACACAUCCCCGUCUCCGUCCCGGCUCCACACGCCCACCUCCCGCACUCCCCCCCUACCCCCGCCCCCGGGUCUGCAGGACUCCCAGGCGCUCGCGUCGAGGGAGACGCUGCGUGGCGACCUGCGCUCGGGACGUCUCACAGCACCGAGCAAAGCAAGAUUAAAAAGUUGUCAUCGCGACUCCGAGCUGAUUGCGGAAAACUCCAACAAAAUCAGUCUCUGCGUUUUCCAGCUGUUGCCCGGGCGCCCUUCUAGCCGCGCGGACCCCGAUGUGAGCAGCAAAGCCCCGGGCGCGUCACUUCCUGCUGAGCUGACUGCUCACUCCUCCCGGGAGCACCCCCCGUCCCCCCACCCCCAGUGCAUUUGGUAAAGAAAGGAAUGUUGGCUUCCAAAUGGUGCUGGGACAGUUACUGUUUGGAGUUAUAUUCCUUAUCAAAAUAUGCACUGAAAUAAAUUACAGCUGAAUUCAAGGGUGAAAUGUUAAAUACACGCAGAUACACAUAAAACAAAGUAAAAAAAAUAUGCAGAUGAAUAUCCGACCUCAGAAUGCAGAAAAGAGCUGUCUAACUAUAAAAGCUGAUAAAAUAAUCAUGAAGUAAAAGAUGGAUAAAUGUAGCUACCUACAUUCAACUUUUUUAGCUUCUGGAAGUAG
RNAcentral lists this long non-coding RNA (1118 nucleotides) under Phocoena sinus (vaquita). RNAcentral's name for it is "lncRNA (ENSPSNG00000012722.1)". Lineage: Eukaryota; Metazoa; Chordata; Mammalia; Artiodactyla; Phocoenidae. The record is from RNAcentral.